CCUACGGGAGGCAGCAGUAGGGAAUCUUCCACAAUGGGCGAAAGCCUGAUGGAGCAACGCCGCGUGAGUGAUGAAGGCCUUCGGGCUGUAAAACUCUGUCAUUCGGGACGAACCGGAGUCUGAGGAAAUACAGACUCUCUGACGGUACCGGAGGAGGAAGCCCCGGCUAACUACGUGCCAGCAGCCGCGGUAAUACGUAGGGGGCAAGCGUUGUCCGGAUUCACUGGGCGUAAAGCGCGCGCAGGCGGUGAUGUAAGUCUGAGGUGAAAACCCGAAGCUCAACUUCGGGACUGCCUUGGAUACUGCGUCACUUGAGGAUAGGAGAGGCAAGGGGAAUUCCACGUGUAGCGGUGAAAUGCGUAGAGAUGUGGAGGAACACCUGUGGCGAAGGCGCCUUGCUGGCCUAUUUCUGACGCUGAGGCGCGAAAGCGUGGGGAGCAAACAGGAUUAGAUACCCUGGUAGUCCACGCUGUAAACGAUGAGUGCUAGGUGUAGGUGGGCUCAUACCCAUCUGUGCCGAAGCUAACGCAUUAAGCACNCCGCCGCGGGAGGUACGGUCGCGACGACGUAGAACGUACGAAGGAAGUUAGUACGGACGUUAGGAGACGNGGACCGACGGACGACGACGAGGGGAGGUUAGG
RNAcentral lists this ribosomal RNA (641 nucleotides) under uncultured bacterium. RNAcentral describes it as "bacterial SSU rRNA". The stretch from base 1 to 544 matches the Rfam family "Bacterial small subunit ribosomal RNA", at positions 338 to 873 of the family's 1533-position model. The record is from RNAcentral.